ACCAAGUUAAGGUGAUGACACAUCACGUAACCAUGUAACCGAAGUUGUUUCUUAUCCCUUGCUGCAAAACCAACUGUUCCCAGCUAUAGCGUGACCUUCACAGCCUUAUAUUCUUUCGUUUUCUCUCAUAGUCACAACUUUGCACACUCAGCACACUCACACAUCCAUCCAUGGCUUCCAUAACAUCAUCAUCGUCUCCAACAACAACAUCCCAUUUCAACUUUCCAAACACCAAAUUGUGUUCCUCUUUUCCCUUCUCAUUCUCUACACGCUUGCUUCCACUUCCUUCCAUAUCCCACGCGGUCUCCAAUUCCCUCAACAAAUUCAAUUCCUAUAUCAAUUCUCUGCGCUGUUCUGCCUCAAUGGAAGACGCCGAAUGGGAUUGGGAACAAUGGCGUCACCAUUUCGACGAGAUUGAUGAACAGGAAAGUCUCCUCCAUACUCUCAAGUCACGCUUCGGUGAUGCUGUGAAAUUUGAGGAUUAUGAUGAUGCGGCUGCGCUUAAGGUGGCCAUUGCAGCUGUAGCUACCAAUGACACUGUUGGAACGGUCAUAUCUGAUCUAAAUAGGGCCAUAGAGGAAGAGCGGUACAGUGAUGCAGCUUUCUUAAGAGAUGAAGCUGGCAUCGGACUUGUGGGUUGGUGGGCUGGAAUGUCGGAAGACACUAAUGGUCCACACGGUCUAAUUAUUCGCAUAACUCCAGAGCAUGGAAGAUACGUGGCAAAGAGUUAUAGUCCUAGGCAACUUGCUACAUCUGCUGCUUCUGGUGUUCCUCUAUUUGAAUUUUUUCUUAUAAAGAAUAAGAAUGGUGAAUUUAAGUCACAGGCUGUGUACUUAAAAGAGAAAGGAGCUUCCUAUAGUCCCCCAACAAAAUCUACUAAAGCUUUGGAUGCUGCUGAGAGAAUGAGUUCUGUGGAGUCACCAGAAGAUAAAAGUCAGCUAUUUGUUGGAAGUCCUGAAGAUCCAGAGGUUGUUGAUGAUAGGAAUGAUAGCUCUGAUCCAACUGAUGGAAUGCCUGGAUUUCAGAAUAUCCUGAAGGAUACGAUACCUGGUGUAAAGAUGAAGAUUUUGAAGUUCACAACUCCAGACAAAGUAGACAAGGAUAUAAUAUCUGAGGUGAUUGAGCAGAUAACUGAGGAAGAAGGGGAUGAAGAUGAAGAUGUACAUUCUAACAAGGACAAUGAGACAGAAACUCCAGAACUGAAAGAUGUUGAGUCUGAAACUGAUGAUGAGAAUGAAUUAAGAUCUAAUCUGGAAGCUGAACAUGCUGAACAAAAUAAAUUUGCAGUCAAAGCUGCCAUUGGUGGUCUUAUUCCGAAACUUUCCAGCAGUUUUCCUACAAGAGAAUUGCUUCGAGUUCCUGCAAAGUUGGAGACAUCCGGACAAGAUUCAUUUUCGUUUACCAUAAAAGAAUUAGUCAAUGAACAGGUUGGUCAUGGCAAAGGGAAACGUUCACCAGAUAAAUCAACAAAAAUUCAAGGCCAACGUAGUGGUGAUAGUAUUAUGUAUAAUCUUGCUAAGUUCAUUGGAAGGGAGAGAUUACCUUCAAAGGUUCUUAAAGAUGUGGAAGAGUUAGUAAGACUUAAUCUUAGCCGGCCUCAAAACCGUGAACGAUUGUUUGGGUCAACUAUGUUCAGUCGCAUUGAAAUACCAACUUCUUUAGAUCCUUUGAAUGGUCUAUACAUUAGUGCACAUGGGCUUUACUCAUCUGAAGUAAUUCAACUGAAAUAUAGAUAUGGCCAUUGGCAAGAAGAUGGUGAGAAUAAAGAGUCUUCCAAUCUUGAAUUUUAUCAGUAUGUGGAAGCCUUGAAACUGACUGGGGAUCCUUAUGUACCAGCAGGCCAGGUAGCAUUUCGAGCAAAAGUUGGAAAGAGGCAUCAACUUCCUCACAGUAGAAUUAUUCCCAAAGAGUAUGGAUUGGUAGGCAGUGCAUAUUCACUUGAUUGCACGCUAUAAAGGUCAGGGGAGGCUUGCGGAGCCAAAAUUUCAAAAUCCUAGAUGGGUUGACGGUGAACUUGUGAUACUAGACGGAAAGUACUUCAAAACAGGGCCUGUUGUUGGAUUUGUGUACUGGGUCCCUGAACAACCUCUUUUGGCAUUGUUCAAUCGGCUGAAGCUUCAAGGAUAGGAUUUUUUUGUUGUACUUGUACAUAAUGUCAACCUGUAAAUUCUUUCUACUGAUUCUGAAGGUAAGUUGCCCACCUUUAAGAUUUAAUAAAGCAUUUAGUAAUGAAAAUAUGGUUUUAAUCUUCUACUCAGAAAAUUUAUAUAUUUAAUUUUCCCUUCUCGGCAAGAAAUUGUAUUGUUGGCAUGGUUAGUGGAUAAAAUUUAUCUAUUAUGCUAU
This is an RNA transcript of Vigna radiata var. radiata (mung bean), 2343 nucleotides long. It is a transcript of the gene named protein EXECUTER 1, chloroplastic, with no coding region annotated. NCBI's taxonomy places the organism in Eukaryota, Viridiplantae, Streptophyta, Magnoliopsida, Fabales, Fabaceae. The transcript has 11 exons. The record is from RefSeq and is a predicted model, not a curated record.